AAGUCGUAACAAGGUCUCCGUUGGUGACCAGCGGAGGGAUCAUUACCGAGUUUACAACUCCCAAACCCAUGUGAACAUACCUACAUGUUGCUUCGGCGGUGCCGCCCCGGCGCCCGGGACCCACGUCUCGCGGCCCGGAACCAGGCGCCCGCCGGAGGCCACAAACUCUUCUGUAUUUACAGUUUCUUCUGAGUGUGCCGCAAGGCAGCAAACAAAUGAAUCAAAACUUUCAACAACGGAUCUCUUGGUUCUGGCAUCGAUGAAGAACGCAGCGAAAUGCGAUAAGUAAUGUGAAUUGCAGAAUUCAGUGAAUCAUCGAAUCUUUGAACGCACAUUGCGCCCGCCAGAAUUCUGGCGGGCAUGCCUGUUCGAGCGUCAUUUCAACCCUCGAGCUCCCCUUGGGGAGCCCGGCGUUGGGGACCGGCAGUAACACCGCCGGCCCCGAAAUGGAGUGGCGGCCCCGUCCGCGGCGACCUCUGCGUAGUAAAUCCACUCGCACCGGGACCCGGGCGCGGCCACGCCGUAAAACACCCAACUUCCGAAUGUUGACCUCGAAUCAGGUAGGAAUACCCGCUGAACUUAAGCAUAUCAAUAAGCGGAGGAAAAGAAACCAACAGGGAUUGCCCCAGUAACGGCGAGUGAAGCGGCAACAGCUCAAAUUUGAAAUCUGGUCCCCAGGGCCCGAGUUGUAAUUUGUAGAGGAUGCUUUUGGCGAGGCGCCUUCCGAGUUCCCUGGAACGGGACGCCACAGAGGGUGAGAGCCCCGUCUGGUCGGAUGCCAAGCCUAUGUAAAGCUCCUUCGACGAGUCGAGUAGUUUGGGAAUGCUGCUCAAAAUGGGAGGUAUAUGUCUUCUAAAGCUAAAUAUUGGCCAGAGACCGAUAGCGCACAAGUAGAGUGAUCGAAAGAUGAAAAGCACUUUGAAAAGAGGGUUAAAAAGUACGUGAAAUUGUUGAAAGGGAAGCGCCUAUGACCAGACUUGGGCCCGGUGAAUCAUCCAGCGUUCUCGCUGGUGCACUUUGCCGGGCACAGGCCAGCAUCAGUUUGGCGCGGGGGAUAAAGGUUUCGGGAAUGUGGCUCCCCCGGGAGUGUUAUAGCCCGUUGCGUAAUACCCUGCGCUGGACUGAGGUACGCGCUCCGCAAGGAUGCUGGCGUAAUGGUCAUCAGCGACC
RNAcentral lists this ribosomal RNA (1170 nucleotides) under Cordycipitaceae sp. KF1016_G. RNAcentral's name for it is "eukaryotic LSU rRNA". The stretch from base 547 to 1170 matches the Rfam family "Eukaryotic large subunit ribosomal RNA", at positions 1 to 649 of the family's 3401-position model. Lineage: Eukaryota; Fungi; Ascomycota; Sordariomycetes; Hypocreales; Cordycipitaceae. The record is from RNAcentral.